Bombina bombina (fire-bellied toad) is the source of this 4759-nucleotide long non-coding RNA. RefSeq lists it as uncharacterized. The record is from RefSeq and is a predicted model, not a curated record. The transcript has 3 exons. Lineage: Eukaryota; Metazoa; Chordata; Amphibia; Anura; Bombinatoridae.
UGAGUUAACCUGUAGCAGCAGGGAGGAUGAGGCACUGAGUUAACCUGUAUCAGCAGGGAGGGUGAGGGAUUGAGUUAACUUGUAGCAGCAGGGAGGGUGAGACACUGAGUUAACCUGUAUCAGCAGGGAGGGUGAGACACCGAGUUAACCUGUAGCAGAAGGGAGGGUGAGGCACUGAGUUAACCUGCAGCAACAGGGACGAUGAGGCACUUAGUUAUCCUGUAGCAGCAGGGAGGGUGAGGCACUGAGUUAACCUGUAGCAGCAGGGAGGGCCAGGCACUGAGUUAACCUGCAGCACCAGGGAGGGUGAGGCACUGAGUUAACCUGUAGCAGCAGGGAGGGUGAGGCACUGAGUUAACCUGCAGCAGCAGGGACAGUGAGGUACUUAGUUAACCUGUAGCAGCAGGGACGAUGAGGCACUUAGUUAACCUGUAGCAGCAGGGAGGGUGAGGCACUUAGUUAACCUGUAGCAGCAGGGAGGAUGAGGCACUGAGUUAAUCUGUAUCAGUAGGGAGAGUGAGGCACUGAGUUAACCUGCAGCACCAGGGAGGGUGAGGCACUGAGUUAAUCUGUAUCAGUAGGGAGAGUGAGGCACUGAGUUAACCUGCAGCACCAGGGAGGAUGAGGCACUGAGUUAAUCUGUAUCAGUAGGGAGAGUGAGGCACUGAGUUAACCUGCAGCACCAGGGAGGGUGAGGCACUGAGUUAACCUGUAGCAGCAGGGAGGGUGAGGCACUUAGUUAACCUGUAGCAGCAGGGACGAUGAGGCACUGAGUUAAUCUGUAUCAGUAGGGGGAAUAAGGCACUGAGUUAAUCUGUAGCAGUUGGGAGGAUGAGGCACUGAGUUAAUCUGUAGCAGUUGGGAGGAUGAGGCACUGAGUUAACCUGUAGCAGCAGGGAGAAUAAGGCACUGAGUUAACCUGUAGCAGUAGGUACGAUGAGGCACUGAGUUAACCUGUAGCAGCAGGGAGGGUGAGGCACUGAGUUAACCUGUAGCAGCAGGGAGGGUGAGGUACUGAGUUAACCUGUAGCAGCAGGGAGGGUGAGGUACUGAGUUAACCUAUAGCAGCAGGGAGGAUGAGGCACUGAGUUAACCUGUAGCAGCAGGGAGGAUGAGGGACUGAGUUAACCUGUAGCAGCAGGGAGGGUGAGGCAUUGAGUUAACCUGUUGCAGUAGGAAGGAUGAGGCACUGAGUUAACCUGUAUCAUUAAGGAGAAUAAGGCACUAAGUUAACCUGUAGCAGCAGGGAGGACGAGGCAUUGAGUUAACCUGUAGCAGCAGGGAGGAUGAGGCACUGAGUUAACCUGUAGCAGCAGGGAGGGUGAGGCACUGAGUUAACCUGUAGCAGCAGGAAGGGUGAGGCACUGAGUUAACCUGUAGCAGCAGGGAGGAUGAGGCACUGAGUUAACCUGUAGCAGCAGGGAGGGUGAGGCACUGAGUUAACCUGUAGCAGCAAGGAGGGUGAGGCACGGAGUUAACCUGUAUCAGUAGGGAGGAUGAGGCACUGAGUUAACCUAUAGCAGCAGGGAGGGUGAGGCACUGAGUUAACCUGUAGCAGCAGGGAUGGUAAGGCACUGAGAUAACCUGUAGCAGCAGGUAGGGUAAGGCACUGAGUUAACCUGUAGCAGCAGGGUGCGUGAGGCACUGAGUUAACCUGUAGCAGCAGGGAGGAUUAGGCACUGAGUUAACCUGUAGUAGCAGGGAGGAUUAGGCACUGAGUUAACCUGUAGUAGCAGGGAGGAUUAGGCACUGAGUUAACCUGUAGUAGCAGAGAGGGUAAGGCAUUUAGUUUAUUGCCAGUAGCAGGGGGGAUUAGAUGCUGAGGUAACCUAUUACAGCAGAGGGGAUGAGGUACUGAGGUUAAGCAGCAACAGAUUAGAUCCUGAGGUAACCAGUAGCAGCAGGGGCUGAGGUAAUUGUGAGUAGCAGGGUGGAUGAGGCAUUGAGUUACUUGACAGCAGCAGGGUGAAUUAUAUCCUGAGUAACCUGUAGCAGCAGGGGGAAUAGGUGCUAAGAUAAUCAGCGGCAUGGGGAGAUAAGGUACAAGAUAAAAGCCUUGGUGACUAAAUAGACAACAGGAGUCAAGUAUUUUAAACCAUUUUAUACCAUACUUGCCUCAAUAGUACACAGCUCUGUGGGAUCUUUUUUAAUGUUUACAUCUACUGUACAGAAUAUUAUAUUACCUUUCUACCAAAAGAAAAAACAAUUAGAACAUCUCAGCUAAUUGGAAAACAGUGUAUAGUAAAUAAGCUCAGAGUGUAAAACCCAUAAUUCCUCUUUGAUGCAACAAGAUGUUAAGUAGUUCACGCCAACUUAACCAUGGAGAUAGGGAUCUAUGAUGACAACUAAGAAUGAAAAACUUAGAAGUGGAACCUCUGUAAAAAAUGAAGGUCACCAUCAAUUUGACACUCCAAUGACAAGUCAAAUUAAUCUAAAACAAAGAACUUAAUAUAAAGUCCCAACACAGUUGGAUAAUCAGUUCAGUCAAGCAAUACAAGUCAAGGAUAAAAACAAUAAAAAAAAGGUUAUUAUUAUUAAUUAUGUAAUUUGUCAGGAAAGAAAAAAGGCUGGGAAAAUACGUCUGUUCAAAUGCUUGAUGAUUUGUUUACAAGAAUAGUCGCCAUUUUAUCCAUUUAAAACUAAACUCACUACUAAACCUGCUACUUUUAAGAGUUCUUGAGUGGAAAACCCCAGCAAAAUGGCCUGGAAAGCUGAAUUACCCCUUCUGAAAUUAAAAGCCCAAAUUACUGAGGCACAGUGCACCAACCAGAGACCUAAUCUUGGAAGCCAGAUGAAGAUGAUACUGCACGGUGAGGCCUAAAAGAAUUAGAAGAGUACUAAAACGGACAUAAGGAUUCUGUAUAGGAGAUGAACACCUUCAGGAACUGGACCACACAUAGCCAUGGCUCCUGAGGAAUUUAUCUUGUAACGUAAGGAAUCUGCCAAGAUAGUUUGUGCUAGAAAUAACCCAUCUAAGCCAGAUACUGUUGCAUUUAUAAAGUAAAUGUGUUGCUUUCCUCUCUGACAUUUACUGAGUAUUCAUCCCGGCCCUCCAAAGCAGAUAACAGAAGCAAAUGAAAAACGAAAGACCAGAAGCAGAACAGCGAAGGGUCCCUUAGGCUUGUGGUUAGUCAUAUGGGAGAACACGAGCCGCUCUGUUUGGCUAAUGGGCUGAAGAAAAUCAAUAUUCGAAAAACCAAAGGGGAGGCAGCUGGCUUGUAAUAUUUGGUGACCCAUAUCUCAGUCUUCUAUUCCAGCAGAGAAAGCAUUACUCACCCAAUCUUAUAUUACUGCUGGGAGAUUUGACCGGAGGAGGCUGGUAAUUGGUGACAAAUAGAUGCGUGUCCAGCCCUGCUAAUGUAACAUUAACAGAGCAGGCGUUCUAAUAUUACAAAUUACGUGGCUUCUUUGAAGAGGCCCAGAGUCUCAUGCAAAAAACAUGAACCUGGAAAAUGUAAGUGGGAGAGAAGGAUCAUCAGCAAGACUGCAAAUUGUCCUCUAAAGAUGCUGCAAGAUGAACUGCGAAUGUGUUACACACACAGGAAAAUCGCUGGCGCAGCGACCAGAGCUUUUGGUAAAAAACAAAGUGUAAGGUUUUAACAACAGAGACUGGCACGUGUGAGAGCUAUACAGAUAGGAUUAUUCUCAUUGUUGUAGACACGAGGACCAGGGAUUAUUAACCCAUUGGCUGCCAGAGAAUGCCAUAACCCAUUGUAAUGUUCAAAUCCACUCUAACAUUACUAUUGUUUUGUUCAAUGUAAACAGAGGUGAAGGUAUUUAAUAAAGGGACAGUCAAGUCAAAAUUAAACUUAAAGGGACAGUCUAGGCCAAAAUAAACUUUCUUGAUUCAGAUAGAGCAUGUCAUUUUAAACAAUUUUCCAAUUUACUUUUAUCACCAAUUUUGCUUUGUUCUCUUGGUAUUCUUAGUUGAAAGCUUAACCUAGGAGGUUCAUAUGCUAAUUUCUUAGACCUUGAAGGCCACCUCUUUUCAGAAUGCAUUUUAACAGUUUUUCACCACUAGAGGGUGUUAGUUCAUGUGUUUCAUAUAGAUAACACUGUGCUCAUGCACGUGAAGUUAUCUGGGAGCAGGCACUGAUUGGCUAAAAUGCAAGUCUGUCAAAAGAACCGAAAUAAAGGGGCAGUUUGCAGAGGCUUAGAUACAAGAUAAUCACAGGGGUUAAAAGUAUAUUAUUAUAACUGUGUUGGUUAUACAAAACUAGGGAAUGGUUAAUAAAGGGAUUAUCUAUCUUUUAAAACAAUAAAAAUUCUGAUGUAGACUGUCCCUUUAAAUUAAUUGAAUAGAGCAUGCAAUUUAAAAAAUAAAAUUACAAUUUACUUCUAUCAAUAUUGCUUAUUUCUCUUGGUAUCCUUUGUUAAAGAGUAACUCCAGGUGAGCUCAGGAGCGUGCAUGUGUUUGUAGCCAUCGGGCAAGAGUGUUUGUAAACAUGUUAAUAGUAUCAUACACUGCUGCCAUAGCGUACGAAAGACUCAGGUACACUCCUAACAGCCUGCCUACAAAAGAUGCCAAGAGUACAAAGCAAAUUUGAUGAUAGAAGUAAAUAGGAAAGCAGUUUAAAUUUGCCUUUUCUAUCUAAAUCAUGAGUGUUUCAUUUUGACUUUACUACUGCCCCCUUAAAGCAGAUGUGUUCCUCUAGCUGCCAGUAGCGCAAUGAAGAAAUCAAAUCAUUAAAGAAAAUGUUGGGGUUUCAUGUCCCUUUAAAGGUUUUUUUUUUUUGUUACUAGUUAUUAAGGGAGAUAU